RNAcentral lists this ribosomal RNA (350 nucleotides) under uncultured eukaryote. RNAcentral's name for it is "SSU rRNA". It matches the Rfam family "Eukaryotic small subunit ribosomal RNA", at positions 567 to 922 of the family's 1831-position model. The record is from RNAcentral.
CCAGCAGCUGCGGUAAUUCCAGCUCCAAUAGCGUAUAUUUAAGUUGCUGCAGUUAAAAAGCUCGUAGUUGGAUUUCGGGCGGGGCCUGCCGGUCCGCCGUUUCGGUGUGCACUGGCCGGGCCCGCCUUGUUGCCGGGGACGGGCUCCUGGGCUUCACUGUCCGGGACUCGGAGUCGGCGCUGUUACUUUGAGUAAAUUAGAGUGUUCAAAGCAGGCCUACGCUCUGAAUACAUUAGCAUGGAAUAACACGAUAGGACUCUGGCCUAUCCUGUUGGUCUGUAGGACCGGAGUAAUGAUUAAGAGGGACAGUCGGGGGCAUUCGUAUUUCAUUGUCAGAGGUGAAAUUCUUG